RNAcentral lists this ribosomal RNA (2923 nucleotides) under Klebsiella pneumoniae subsp. pneumoniae. Its description in RNAcentral is "bacterial LSU rRNA". It matches the Rfam family "Bacterial large subunit ribosomal RNA". Lineage: Bacteria; Pseudomonadati; Pseudomonadota; Gammaproteobacteria; Enterobacterales; Enterobacteriaceae. The record is from RNAcentral.
GGGUUGUGAGGUUAAGCGACUAAGCGUACACGGUGGAUGCCCUGGCAGUCAGAGGCGAUGAAGGACGUGCUAAUCUGCGAAAAGCGUCGGUAAGGUGAUAUGAACCGUUAUAACCGGCGAUGUCCGAAUGGGGAAACCCAGUGCAAUUCGUUGCACUAUCGUUAACUGAAUACAUAGGUUAACGAGGCGAACCGGGGGAACUGAAACAUCUAAGUACCCCGAGGAAAAGAAAUCAACCGAGAUUCCCCCAGUAGCGGCGAGCGAACGGGGAGCAGCCCAGAGUCUGAAUCAGCUUGUGUGUUAGUGGAACGGUCUGGAAAGUCCGACGGUACAGGGUGAUAGUCCCGUACACCAAAAUGCACAGGCUGUGAACUCGAAGAGUAGGGCGGGACACGUGGUAUCCUGUCUGAAUAUGGGGGGACCAUCCUCCAAGGCUAAAUACUCCUGACUGACCGAUAGUGAACCAGUACCGUGAGGGAAAGGCGAAAAGAACCCCGGCGAGGGGAGUGAAAAAGAACCUGAAACCGUGUACGUAAAAGCAGUGGGAGCACCUUCGAGUGUGACUGCGUACCUUUUGUAUAAUGGGUCAGCGACUUAUAUUCUGUAGCAAGGUUAACCGUAUAGGGGAGCCGCAGGGAAACCGAGUCUUAACUGGGCGUUAAGUUGCAGGGUAUAGACCCGAAACCCGGUGAUCUAGCCAUGGGCAGGUUGAAGGUUGGGUAACACUAACUGGAGGACCGAACCGACUAAUGUUGAAAAAUUAGCGGAUGACUUGUGGCUGGGGGUGAAAGGCCAAUCAAACCGGGAGAUAGCUGGUUCUCCCCGAAAGCUAUUUAGGUAGCGCCUCGUGAAUUCAUCUUCGGGGGUAGAGCACUGUUUCGGCUAGGGGGUCAUCCCGACUUACCAACCCGAUGCAAACUACGAAUACCGAAGAAUGUUAUCACGGGAGACACACGGCGGGUGCUAACGUCCGUCGUGAAGAGGGAAACAACCCAGACCGCCAGCUAAGGUCCCAAAGUCAUGGUUAAGUGGGAAACGAUGUGGGAAGGCACAGACAGCCAGGAUGUUGGCUUAGAAGCAGCCAUCAUUUAAAGAAAGCGUAAUAGCUCACUGGUCGAGUCGGCCUGCGCGGAAGAUGUAACGGGGCUAAACCAUGCACCGAAGCUGCGGCAGCGACACUAUGUGUUGUUGGGUAGGGGAGCGUUCUGUAAGCCUGCGAAGGUGACCUGUGAGGGUUGCUGGAGGUAUCAGAAGUGCGAAUGCUGACAUAAGUAACGAUAAAGCGGGUGAAAAGCCCGCUCGCCGGAAGACCAAGGGUUCCUGUCCAACGUUAAUCGGGGCAGGGUGAGUCGACCCCUAAGGCGAGGCCGAAAGGCGUAGUCGAUGGGAAACAGGUUAAUAUUCCUGUACUUGGUGUUACUGCGAAGGGGGGACGGAGAAGGCUAUGUUAGCCGGGCGACGGUUGUCCCGGUUUAAGCAUGUAGGCUGGUUAUCCAGGCAAAUCCGGAUAAUCAAGGCUGAGGUGUGAUGACGAGGCACUACGGUGCUGAAGUAACAAAUGCCCUGCUUCCAGGAAAAGCCUCUAAGCAUCAGGUAACAUUAAAUCGUACCCCAAACCGACACAGGUGGUCAGGUAGAGAAUACCAAGGCGCUUGAGAGAACUCGGGUGAAGGAACUAGGCAAAAUGGUGCCGUAACUUCGGGAGAAGGCACGCUGGUGUGUAGGUGAAGCCCCUGCGGGUGGAGCUGAGACCAGUCGAAGAUACCAGCUGGCUGCAACUGUUUAUUAAAAACACAGCACUGUGCAAACACGAAAGUGGACGUAUACGGUGUGACGCCUGCCCGGUGCCGGAAGGUUAAUUGAUGGGGUUAUCCGUAAGGAGAAGCUCUUGAUCGAAGCCCCGGUAAACGGCGGCCGUAACUAUAACGGUCCUAAGGUAGCGAAAUUCCUUGUCGGGUAAGUUCCGACCUGCACGAAUGGCGUAAUGAUGGCCAGGCUGUCUCCACCCGAGACUCAGUGAAAUUGAACUCGCUGUGAAGAUGCAGUGUACCCGCGGCAAGACGGAAAGACCCCGUGAACCUUUACUAUAGCUUGACACUGAACAUUGAGCCUUGAUGUGUAGGAUAGGUGGGAGGCUUUGAAGCGUGGACGCCAGUCUGCGUGGAGCCAACCUUGAAAUACCACCCUUUAAUGUUUGAUGUUCUAACGUUGGCCCCUGACCGGGGUUGCGGACAGUGUCUGGUGGGUAGUUUGACUGGGGCGGUCUCCUCCCAAAGCGUAACGGAGGAGCACGAAGGUUAGCUAAUCCUGGUCGGACAUCAGGAGGUUAGUGCAAUGGCAUAAGCUAGCUUGACUGCGAGCGUGACGGCGCGAGCAGGUGCGAAAGCAGGUCAUAGUGAUCCGGUGGUUCUGAAUGGAAGGGCCAUCGCUCAACGGAUAAAAGGUACUCCGGGGAUAACAGGCUGAUACCGCCCAAGAGUUCAUAUCGACGGCGGUGUUUGGCACCUCGAUGUCGGCUCAUCACAUCCUGGGGCUGAAGUAGGUCCCAAGGGUAUGGCUGUUCGCCAUUUAAAGUGGUACGCGAGCUGGGUUUAGAACGUCGUGAGACAGUUCGGUCCCUAUCUGCCGUGGGCGCUGGAGAAUUGAGGGGGGCUGCUUCUAGUACGAGAGGACCGGAGUGGACGCAUCACUGGUGUUCGGGUUGUCAUGCCAAUGGCACUGCCCGGUAGCUAAAUGCGGAAGAGAUAAGUGCUGAAAGCAUCUAAGCACGAAACUUGCCCCGAGAUGAGUUCUCCCUGAGACUUUAAGUCUCCUGAAGGAACGUUAAAGACGAUGACGUUGAUAGGCCGGGUGUGUAAGCGCAGCGAUGCGUUGAGCUAACCGGUACUAAUGAACCGUGAGGCUUAACCUUACAACGCCGAAG